AGAGCCCCAAAUGAAUUGCUUUAGAGUUUAGAGUUGACGUCACAAUCAAGUUGCUCCGUGUGGUUCCGGCGAGUACCACCACCAACCCGCCCAGCGCCACCAUAACAACGACAAUGAGCCGGAGAUGGGCAGGGCCAAGCUCGAUAUUCUGGAAAGAAAAAUUGCAGUUACAUAGGCUGAAUUUCGUCCUGCUGCACACAGAUUUGACAGAUACCCAGGACGUGCAUGGUUCCGCAUUUGGGAAAAAAGUAUGAAGCAAAUCCAGUGGCUUAAUUAAGAGAUUUCCUUGGAAGUCUUUUGUGGGGAAAUCUCUUAUUUGUUGAUUUAACUUCGAUUUAUCUAAUGAUAUUGAGAAGUGAAGAAAAUAUGCAUCUAGCGCUAUCUUUCAAAAUAAGAUUGAAAACAUACAGAGCACAUUGAAUUUUUGAGCUCUUAACGACUGCCAUGCCAACUAUUUGUAUUUAGGAAUUUAUGCUUGCAACAAGAUCGAUUAUGUUAUGUCAGAUACAAAGUUCUUACCUGAAUUCUACUUGAUUUCAGAGUUUGAUCAGAAUGCAGACAACUGCAUGAGACGAAAAUCAAAAGGACUUCGGGUCAUGAAUCCAACAAAAUUGUUACCGUUUC
Molecule: non-coding RNA, 624 nt
Organism: Coffea arabica (coffee)
Lineage: Eukaryota; Viridiplantae; Streptophyta; Magnoliopsida; Gentianales; Rubiaceae
Source: RefSeq, a predicted model, not a curated record